UACGAAGGGGGCUAGCGUUGUUCGGAAUUACUGGGCGUAAAGGGCGCGUAGGCGGCCGCCUAAGUCAGACGUGAAAUCCCUCGGCUCAACCGGGGAACUGCGUCUGAUACUGGGUGGCUUGAAUCCGGGAGAGGGAUGCGGAAUUCCAGGUGUAGCGGUGAAAUUCGUAGAUAUUGGGAAGAACACCGAUGGCGAAGGCAGCCAUCUGGACCGACACUGACGCUGAGGCGCGAAAGCGUGGGGAGCAAACAGG
This 253-nucleotide ribosomal RNA is filed under the name uncultured bacterium. Its description in RNAcentral is "partial 16S ribosomal RNA". It matches the Rfam family "Bacterial small subunit ribosomal RNA", at positions 524 to 776 of the family's 1533-position model. The record is from RNAcentral.